CCUACGGGAGGCAGCAGUGAGGAAUAUUGGUCAAUGGCCGGAAGUCUGAACCAGCCAUGCCGCGUGAAGGUCAGUGCCCUAUGGGCGUUAAACUUCUUUUGUUCGGGAGCAAUAAUGGUCACGUUUGGCCAGCCUAGAUUACCGUACGAAUCAGCAUCGGCUAACUCCGUGCCAGCAGCCGCGGUAAUACGGGGGAUGCAAGCGUUAUCCGGAUUUAUUGGGUUUAAAGGGUGCGUAGGCUGUGAGGUAAGUCAGCGGUGAAAUGCCCCCGCUCAACGGGGUGAAGUGCCAUUGAUACUGCGAGACUAGAGUAAUGGAGGGGGGACCGGAAUUCUCGGUGUAGCAGUGAAAUGCGUAGAUAUCGAGAGGAACACUCGUGGCGAAGGCGGGUUCCUGGACAUUAACUGACGCUGAGGCACGAAGGCCAGGGGAGCGAAAGGGAUUAGAUACCCGAGUAGUC
RNAcentral lists this ribosomal RNA (460 nucleotides) under uncultured bacterium. Its description in RNAcentral is "partial 16S ribosomal RNA". It matches the Rfam family "Bacterial small subunit ribosomal RNA", at positions 338 to 795 of the family's 1533-position model. The record is from RNAcentral.